CUCGUAGGCGGCUGUUCAAGUCGAACGUGAAAACUCGGGGCUCAACUCCGAGCCUGCGUUCGAUACUGGAUGGCUAGAGUCUGGGUAGGGGGAUCUGGAAUUCCUGGUGUAGCGGUGGAAUGCGCAGAUAUCAGGAGGAACACCGGUGGCGAAGGCGGGAUUCUGGGCCAGUACUGACGCUGAGGAGCGAAAGCGUGGGGAGCAAACA
Molecule: ribosomal RNA, 208 nt
Filed under: uncultured bacterium
Lineage: Bacteria
Description: partial 16S ribosomal RNA
Rfam family: Bacterial small subunit ribosomal RNA
Source: RNAcentral